AUAAAAUCCUAUAAAUCGGAGACUCCUAAACAAAAAGCCCUAGCCUCAUACAUAGGGAGACAAGGGUGAAGGAAAAGCAAAUUAGUCGCUGCAAAGUAGAGCAGCAGUCAUCAAAGAUCCGAAGCUUUUUCAGAGACUAGAGCAAUUUGGUCACCUGGCUAAGCCAUUCUUCAUCACAUUGCUUAUCAUUUCAAAGGAUUGGGACUCAAUAGGGACGAGAGACAUGUCCCCUCAAUCUCCGGGUUUACUUAGAAGUUGAAAGUUUUGAUGGCAUGAGUGGAGUCGGAAAAAAGAAACUAAGGUUGUACAUAGUCGGAGCAUAAAAUGGGCAAAAAGACAGAAUUUGGAGAGAGUUGACUUUGUCUGCAUGUGCGUUGACUUUCCCGCACGUGCGUUGACUUUUUCUAGAAAAAUGUGCCAGACGUUUUAAACCUGUUUGGAAAGACACCAGAAGUAUAAAUAGGCAAGAAAAAUGCUGGAUUAGGGUUCUGGAGUUGUUUUGUCAAGAAAAGGAGGCUAGGGUUUGAAAAGAAGAGGAACUUGUAGCUUCAAGCAUGUCUCCCAUGGUGGCUUCUUCUCCAUCUACCUCCUUCCACUCCUCCAUGAGUGGCUAGUCUCCUUUUCUAAGGUUUUGAUGA
Molecule: non-coding RNA, 638 nt
Organism: Camellia sinensis
Lineage: Eukaryota; Viridiplantae; Streptophyta; Magnoliopsida; Ericales; Theaceae
Source: RefSeq, a predicted model, not a curated record